RNAcentral lists this ribosomal RNA (497 nucleotides) under uncultured bacterium. Its description in RNAcentral is "partial 16S ribosomal RNA". It matches the Rfam family "Bacterial small subunit ribosomal RNA", at positions 28 to 507 of the family's 1533-position model. The record is from RNAcentral.
GAUGAACGCUGGCGGCGUGCCUAAUACAUGCCAGUCGAGCGAACAGACGAGGAGCUUGCUCCUCUGACGUUAGCGGCGGACGGGUGAGUAACACGUGGAUAACCUACCUAUAAGACUGGGAUAACUUCGGGAAACCGGAGCUAAUACCGGAUAAUAUAUUGAAUCGCAUGGUUCAAUAGUGAAAGACGGUUUUGCUGUCACUUAUAGAUGGAUCCGCGCCGCAUUAGCUAGUUGGUAAGGUAACGGCUUACCAAGGCGACGAUGCGUAGCCGACCUGAGAGGGUGAUCGGCCACACUGGAACUGAGACACGGUCCAGACUCCUACGGGAGGCAGCAGUAGGGAAUCUUCCGCAAUGGGCGAAAGCCUGACGGAGCAACGCCGCGUGAGUGAUGAAGGUCUUCGGAUCGUAAAACUCUGUUAUUAGGGAAGAACAAAUGUGUAAGUAACUAUGCACGUCUUGACGGUACCUAAUCAGAAAGCCACGGCUAACUACGUG